CAAUAGCGUAUAUUAAAGUUGUUGCGGUUAAAAAGCUCGUAGUUGGAUUUCUGCUGAGAACGACCGGUCCGCCCUUUGGGUGUGUAUCUGGCUCUUUCUUGGCAUCUUCUUGGUGAACGUUGCUGCACUUGACUGUGUGGAGCGCUACCCAGGACUUUUACUUUGAGGAAAUUAGAGUGUUUCAAGCAGGCAUACGCCUUGAAUACAUUAGCAUGGAAUAAUAAGAUAGGACCUCGGUUCUAUUUUGUUGGUUUCUAGAGCUGAGGUAAUGAUUAAUAGGGAUAGUUGGGGGCAUUCGUAUUUAACUGUCAGAGGUGAAAUUCUUGGAUUUGUAAAAGACGGACUACUGCGAAAGCAUUUGCCAAGGAUGUUUUCAUUGA
Molecule: ribosomal RNA, 380 nt
Filed under: uncultured eukaryote
Lineage: Eukaryota
Description: partial 18S ribosomal RNA
Rfam family: Eukaryotic small subunit ribosomal RNA
Source: RNAcentral